This 472-nucleotide ribosomal RNA is filed under the name Microsporidia sp. RNAcentral describes it as "bacterial SSU rRNA". It matches the Rfam family "Microsporidia small subunit ribosomal RNA", at positions 200 to 696 of the family's 1311-position model. Lineage: Eukaryota; Fungi; Microsporidia. The record is from RNAcentral.
CUACCAAGACAGUGACGGUUGACGGGAAAUAAGGGUUUUAUACCGGAGAGGGAGCCUGAGAGAUUGCUCCCACGUCCAAGGACGGCAGCAGGCGCGAAAAUUGCCCACUCUUUGUAGGAGGCAGUUAUGAGACGUGAAAUUGAAUAUCUUGUAAAGAAGGAUAGGAGAAUUGGAGGGCAAGUUUGGUGCCAGCAGCCGCGGUAAUACCGACUCCAAGAGUGUGUAUGAGAGAUGCUGCAGUUAAAAAGUCCGUAGUCAUAAAAAAAUAAAUAGGAGUGCGAAGUUUCUUAUUAGUAUUGUUGAGGAACCGAUGGGGAACAUAGUAUACCAGGGCGAGAGAUGAAAUGCCAAGACCCCUGGUGGACUAAGCGAGGCGAAGGCGAUGUUCUUGUAGGUAUUCGGUGAUCAAGGACGAAGGCUGGAGUAUCGAAAGUGAUUAGAUACCGCAGUAGUUCCAGCAGUAAAAGAUGCC